GCUCCAAUGGGUCAAUGAUAGACUGGCCCAGUAGAUUGGAGUAGUACAAUAAUUUCCCAGGCAGAUGUGGGUUUGAAUCCCACUUGGAGUG
Non-coding RNA from Mycena galopus ATCC 62051, 91 nucleotides. Lineage: Eukaryota; Fungi; Basidiomycota; Agaricomycetes; Agaricales; Mycenaceae. The record is from the annotation of a GenBank genome assembly.